Long non-coding RNA from Numida meleagris (helmeted guineafowl), 1057 nucleotides. RefSeq lists it as uncharacterized. The transcript has 2 exons. The record is from RefSeq and is a predicted model, not a curated record. Lineage: Eukaryota; Metazoa; Chordata; Aves; Galliformes; Numididae.
CAGCCAUCUGAGUUUUAAGCCUCUUCAGCAUCUUUAAGUCAGGCGGCACACGCCACAUCGCCUGGUGUCUCCGCAGGUCUCGAUCUUUCAGGGAGUAUGAUGAUGCUUUACCAAAGGGAGAAGUUGAAGAACACAAGAGUGUUACUAGUUGCUGUUGAACUAGCUGAAGAGCUGCUGCCAUCCAGGUGGUUCACCUCAUCUUCUCCAGCAAGAUCUACAUCCAAAUCACCAUCAGAGAGUUCAUGCUGCAGAACAAUGAGACACUUUUCACUCAAGCCUCACUGCUUUUGCCAAAAGCUACAAACAGAAACCCUCUUCCCAUGGAGGUGUCACACUGCCACACAGAAGUUAUGAGAGCCUGAAAGCGCAGUAAGAGCUGGUAACAAACAGGUUACACUUCUAAGCUGCAAUGGGGAAACCUUCUUACAGCGGGAUCAAGUAGCUAUGCUCCAGAACAUCUCCCUGAGACAACUCUUGCUACUCGUCAAACCUGGUAUCUCCUAUCUCCACAAAAAGAUUAAGUCUAAUUUACAGUUCAAAACUUCACAAAUGUUUCUACCGCUAACCUACUACAAGAGAACCUACACAAGAGAAGGCAAGAUAAAGACAGUUCCUACAUUGAAGUCUUCAUGCUGAAUCUUCUCUUCAUCCUCUUCCUUGUUUUCUCGCACCAACCCUGGAGCAGCAACAUUCUCAAGCAGUGCUUCAGUGCUUGGUCCAGGUUUUUUUGAUCUUGUUUCUGGUCCAUCAUCAUUCUGGGGACUGAGGUGAGUGUCUGGAGGUGAAAUGCCUCGUGACUUCUGAGUCCGGGAAAGUUCAAUCGCGAGCCUCUUAAAUAUUAGAGAGAUACAUGAAAAUACACAUAGAAGAUAACCAUGGAGCAGCAUCAUUGAACACGAGCAUCCUCUUUGUUGACUUGCAUAUAUAUUAUUUUAAAUGCCAUCACCACAGUACGUGUAGCUACCCAAGUAAACAAAAAUGCCAAAUAUGAGCUUCGUAACCUAAAACAGUUAACUACUAGGUAAUAAAAGGUAGUUUUAUAUCAAUAUACAUCAAA